Molecule: ribosomal RNA, 468 nt
Filed under: uncultured bacterium
Lineage: Bacteria
Description: partial 16S ribosomal RNA
Rfam family: Bacterial small subunit ribosomal RNA
Source: RNAcentral
GACGAACGCUGGCGGCGUGCUUAACACAUGCAAGUCGAACGGAAAGGCCCUGCUUUUGUGGGGUGCUCGAGUGGCGAACGAGUGAGUAACACGUGAGUAACCUGCCCUUGACUUUGGGAUAACUUCAGGAAACUGGGGCUAAUACCGGAUAGUAGCUCCUGCAUCAUGGUGGGGGUUGGAAAGUUUGGGCGGUUGGGGAUGGACUCGCGGCUUAUCAGUUUGUUGGCGGGGUAGUGGCUUACCAAGGCUUUGCCGGGUAGCCGGCCUGAGAGGGUGACCGGCCACAUUGGGACUGAGAGACGGCCCAGAUUCCUACGGGAGGCAGCAGUGGGGAAUAUUGCACAAUGGGCGGAAGCCUGAUGCAGCAACGCCGCGUGCGGGAUGACGGCCUUCGGGUUGUAAACCGCUUUCGCCUGUGACGAAGCGUGAGUGACGGUAAUGGGUAAAGAAGCACCGGCUAACUACGUG